AUUUUUGUUUAUUUACUUUCUAUGAUUCUUAUAUUUUGUAUUUUUAUUAAAAAUCGAUUACAGCAAACCAUCAAUAAUAAAACAAUAUACCAAAACUAAAGAAAUAAAAGCAAAGAAAAUAAAAUAAAAACAAAAAAAGUCCAAUAAAAAUGGGAAAGGAAAUGUAACGAGGAAAUUGAUCUCCACCCUUCUAAAGCUGCUUUAAAGGUCCUCCACUGCACCACAAACAGCUUCCUCAGAAAGUUGUUCAUUUAUCUGUGCACGUGCCUCUUUGUCCCACUCCUUUUGUUACUUUAUUCCCUUAUGUUCUCUUUCCGAAAUUGGAUUUUUCUUCUCUUUUUUUCUGUUCCCUUAUGCUCUCUUCCCGAAGUUCAAUUCUCUUCCCCU
RNAcentral lists this long non-coding RNA (387 nucleotides) under Vigna radiata. RNAcentral's name for it is "long non-coding RNA (VRAD_LNC017192)". Lineage: Eukaryota; Viridiplantae; Streptophyta; Magnoliopsida; Fabales; Fabaceae. The record is from RNAcentral.